This is a long non-coding RNA of Haliotis rufescens (red abalone), 234 nucleotides long. RefSeq lists it as uncharacterized. The transcript is spliced from 2 exons. Lineage: Eukaryota; Metazoa; Mollusca; Gastropoda; Lepetellida; Haliotidae. The record is from RefSeq and is a predicted model, not a curated record.
GUAUGAUCUUAUAAUAAUGAUACAAUAUGAUAUGAUGUUAUAGAAUAUGUUGUAUGAUAUAACAAGUUGUAAUAUGGUAAAAUAGAAAUUAUGAAGUUACAGGGUAUGGUAUUGUACUGUGGAAUGACGUGAGGUGAUUUGGUGAGAUAUGUACAUAAAUUGUAUAAAAUUGUAUAUUCUUCAAAUUGUACUAUAGGCCUGUGGCCUCUUCAGUAUGUGAAAUAAAGAUUGGAC